RNAcentral lists this unclassified non-coding RNA (345 nucleotides) under soil metagenome. RNAcentral describes it as "partial contains 5.8S ribosomal RNA, internal transcribed spacer 2, and large subunit ribosomal RNA". The stretch from base 1 to 119 matches the Rfam family "5.8S ribosomal RNA", at positions 35 to 154 of the family's 154-position model. The record is from RNAcentral.
GAUGAAGAACGUAGCGAAAUGCGAUACGUAAUGUGAAUUGCAAAUUCAGUGAAUCAUCGAGUCUUUGAACGCACAUUGCGCCCCCUGGUAUUCCGGGGGGCAUGCCUGUCCGAGCGUCAUUGCUGCCCUCAAGCACGGCUUGUGUGUUGGGCCCCGUCCUCCGAUCCCGGGGGACGGGCCCGAAAGGCAGCGGCGGCACCGCGUCCGGUCCUCGAGCGUAUGGGCUUUGUCACCCGCUCUGUAGGCCCGGCCGGCGCUUGCCGAUCAACCCAAAUUUUUUAUCCAGGUUGACCUCGGAUCAGGUAGGGAUACCCGCUGAACUUAAGCAUAUCAAUAAGCGGAGGA